GAUGAAGAACGCAGCGAAAUGCGAUAAGUAAUGUGAAUUGCAGAAUUCCGUGAAUCAUCGAAUCUUUGAACGCACAUUGCGCCCGCCAGCACUCUGGCGGGCAUGCCUGUCCGAGCGUCAUUUCAACCCUCAGGGCCCCUUCGGGGGACCUGGCGUUGGGGAUCGGCCCGCCCCCGUGCGGCGCCGUCCCCGAAAUAUAGUGGCGGUCUCGCUGCAGCCUCCCCUGCGUAGUAGCACACCUCGCACUGGAGAGCGGCGCGGCCACGCCGUGAAACCCCCAACUUCUGAAUGUUGACCUCGGAUCAGGUAGGAAUACCCGCUGAACUUAAGCAUAUCAAUAAGCGGAGGA
This 349-nucleotide unclassified non-coding RNA is filed under the name soil metagenome. RNAcentral's name for it is "partial contains 5.8S ribosomal RNA, internal transcribed spacer 2, and large subunit ribosomal RNA". The stretch from base 1 to 120 matches the Rfam family "5.8S ribosomal RNA", at positions 35 to 154 of the family's 154-position model. The record is from RNAcentral.